GUAGAGGAGACUGACGGGCAUUCAUUCUGUCAUCAGUUUGCAUUACAAUAGAACGUCCUCGUAGAUCUGUGGCAGCUGGAGUCCAUAGCCUACAAGCGCUCGCAUACAAAAUACAGACAUCUGCGGGUUAAUUCCUCGUGCCAUCCAAACACUCCUUUGUCCAGGCUUCAGUCUUGUUAUUUACUUUCCAUUAUUAACCGCCCAUCAGAGGCAGCUGCUCCGCUCUCACCCGACCUCUCUGCUCAAGGCAAACUGACGCACUCCACGGGUAAAUUGGAAUAGGUUUUUGUGCGCUCUGCAUCACAAAACCAUCGAUGAUAAAGAUUUCAUUCAGAAUAUCUAUAAUAUAUAUCACUGACAAUUUGUACAUCGCUCAUUCUACCCGAAGAGGAUUAGUCGGACACAGUUGGAGCCCUUUAUCGCGCCAUCCUUGCUGACACAGAUGGUGCGAGACAGGUGCAUUUUGGACCGAUGGUCAAACUUGCAUCAAUGCAAAAGUGGCCAAACCCACAGCCCAGCUGGCAGGACGCACGUCCCCAUGACAACUGAGAUUCCCUGGGGUCCCUGAUGGACUGAUGAAUACAGGAGUAGGGAGACAGGUAUGCGUCCAGUAUAUCCACACAUAUUGAAGGGGUUCUUCUAAAGACAGAGGAUUAACCACUACUAUUGGUGGUAAUGAUGUCUUGUAGGCUCCGUUCCUCCAUGAAAUUUGUAUUGACUAUUGUUUGUAUUAGGGGAGCUACCGAAGCAAGAUAUUCAUUUCAAUUAGGUCAGUGUAAGGUAAAACAUUUCAAAUAAGAUAAAAAGAAGGUUAAUCAGGUCAGUUAGUAACUGUUCCUAAUCACCUAUGAUUCUGGGAAUUUUAUUAACCCUUCCCAUCUGCAUCCCAUGGUAUCUUUAGGCAGUGGUCAAGUCUAAUGGUCCAGCCUCUCUUUGGUAGGGUUUUGGGGGCAGGUGUUCCAGGGGGUUGCGUUCCACUUUCUGCUGCUUGCUGCUCUGUGUUUCUCUCCAGAUAUGCCGAGGAGGAUACUGAGAUGGUGCCAGCCUUCAGAGGCCAUUUAGACGAGUCAACAACAUGACCAGACUGACAGAGCUGUUUUCUAAACAGUUGUCAACGCGGUUCAUCCUUACCGAAUUGGAACUGGGACAGGAACUGGGACCUAUGGCUUUCACGCACUGACGAAUGAACAUUACUACAAGGCUACUGACGGAGCACACUUCUUUUGCUAUCGAUUUGUGUUAGAAGGAGACCUUGCAGUGAUUAUUAUUGUUAUUAUUAUUAUUUGGAAGUACCAUUGGCACGUUGCUGGCCCCUUUAAUUGUAGUCUAUUUUAUGCCGACGUAAUUCAGGACGUCAUUCAGGACCACAUUUCAUGCCAUAAGAGAGACCCAUAAAGGGUGGGGUUUUAGUGUUGUCUGAUGCUUUGGCGCUUUCAUUUCCUUAAAUAUUGUUUACCUGAGGGAGCUCUCUCCCCUCCUCUGUAAAAUAACACUUUAUCAUCCCCUUCCACACUGUUCAGCUGAUCAAAGCAGCGAGAGACUAACACCUUUCUCUGAUGCCUGCUUCUCCUCAUGCUGUCAGCACCUUUCUCUUCUCGGUAACCUUGGCAACACUUUUAACACCUUACUCACUUCCUUCUACCUCUGAUGUCUAACAUGACUAACAAGGUUGAGUCUGCUAAGAUGGCCUUCCUGCUAAUUUAAUUGAUGUGCUCCUAAAGGCGUCAGCAUGCUUCAGUUUGGCUGACGCCUUCCCGAAGUUGGCUAGGCAAACCGAACAAGUGGGCUUGCAUCCUCCCUUAAAAGAUCUUCACUUGGAAAACAAUAAAAAAGUGACAAUAGUACCGAUUGUCCAUUUUAACAUGCCGUAGCCAGUAUAAACUUACUCAAAAUAUUCAGAAUGAAUCUAAGAUAACUCAAGAAAUCCGUCAUACAAUUUGAGGUUUUUUGCAGAGAUCUUAGUUGCGCAAUUUUAUAUCUAAUUGAGAUGUCUGGUGCAGUAUUUCUCAAUGAAAACAUUUGCAUGAAAACAUGUCGUCUCUCGUUGAAUUGCAACAAAGACUUUAUUGAAGAAUCCCUACUGUUGACCAAUCACCAACGAAGGAGCUUGCCUCUAGAAAAAAUGUUGAGCUCGAACAGUCGAAAAGUUACUAAAGUCCAGAACUAACAAAAACAUCACAAAAUGAUGUCAUAAUAUAUGCACAAAUUCUAUUGAACUGUUUUGGCUGGGAAGCAUGCAGACGUCUUAACCCAGCUGACAUACCCAUACCACUCCAGCAGCUAAUGCUUGUUAUCGUUAGUCUACUCUAACGUUACAGGAGUGUUAUGAGGAUGUUACGACUUUAAUAGGGUUGUGUCAGUGUUUGUGGCGGUGUUUGGAUGGUCUCCCGAGGCCUGGUUUGUCUUGUGAUUUCUGCAUGUACUGCAACUCCCAAUAACCUCAGCUAGAGUCAUAUAGAACUAACCAACACCAGAGUAAUCCUGGUUUGCUAACCUGGACUAACAAUCUAACAGUCACUAAUCAAGCUAAUCAACCAAACUAAACCCCAAGCCCCGUUGAGGGGAGGACGGCUCAUUUGAAUGGCCGGAACGGAGCAAAUGGAAUGGUAUCAAACACAUGGAAACCAUAUAUUUGAUGUAUUUGAUACCAGUCUAUUCAUUCUGCUCCAGCCAUGAGCCCUUCCUCCUAAAUUAAGGUGCCAACAAAGUCCUGUGGUGUAGGUGUACAUUUUGAGUUUAAGAGUGGGGCUCUUAGUGUAAUUAAUUUCCUUACCCAUUGAAACCAAACCAUCAGCUCUCUUGGCAUUCCUUAAUAAAUACACUAACACAUACCCUCUAAUACCUAACACUACUAAUGUCUGGUAACAGGCAUUUUGUUACUUACACUAACCUGUACUAUACUAACUUGUACCUCUCCCAUUUUCCUGAAACCUUUCUUCCACCAGACACAGAUCACCCAAAAUCAUAUACAGUAACUAUGUAUUUAUCUAUCUGUCAUAACCUUAUGCUCAGUAAGUUGCUUGUUGAGAUGUUUUACUUUUGGCCCCUAAAGCACAACGGUGAGAAUGAUUCCAGGAUCUGGGAUGGGAAGCUGGAUUAACCAAUAGAUUUAAAGACAAUGUGCAUCUACCUACCUGUAGCUCACUGGGUUGACCACACACUUCUGCUCAGGGGAUGCCUAAAAACAUGUUACAAAUGUUUCAGUAACUAUGUUAAAGAUUAUUAUUUUUUAAGUUGUCCAUCUUAAUAGUUUAACAAAUAAUGUCUGACAAAUGUUUGACCCCCUGUCCAUUGUGUGGCCAACCAGUGCUUGGUUUGUAGCCUGCAUAGACACAUGUGUAUUCUCUUAUUAGAUAAACCAAAGCAAAUAGCAACCCUUACCUGCUUUAUUACUAACUGGGUGGUGACUGGUGUAUGAACAACAACCCUGGAUAAGGCCUAACAAUUUGGCCAUUGAUUUCUUGCUCUUACAGUAUGUUAGUAUCUUCUCUCAGACUAACAUGUGGUGCUUCUUUCAAUGAAGUCUAACCAUGCUGCGACCAACUUAUCACCCAUCACUUCUCCCUGCCCCUUGGUGAGAUCCAACAGCAUCUAGUAGGCCAUGCAGUAUUGUUUCUUUACUUCCUGAGUCCCGUGUUCUUGAUCGUGUGACACUUUACUUAACCUGCACUAGAGUGAGAAAGCACUAACUAUUGGGGCAUGAAACAGCUUCCCAGAAACUAACAAACUAACUAACCUACUAAUUAACUAAUUAUCUAACAAACUAACUGAAAUGACUAAUUGUGUGCUGAGAGUUAUCAGGUUUGGAGGUUUAUGUUCAGCAAGCCAUCCCCCUUUCUGGUGUGUGUGUGUGUGUGUGUGUGUGUGUGUGUGUGUGUGUGUGUGUGUGUGUGUGUACGUGUGUGUGUGUGUACGUGUGUGUGUGUACAUGUAAUGUAUGCUGCAACUAGCUCUGACAGUCUUACGUCAGAAUUAGACGUUCAUCCAUGUUUCUCAAACAUCACAUUUCAAAUUUCUUCCAAACUUCAAAUUUCAGUGUUUAAGGCUAAGGUUAAGUAUUAACUACGAAUGGUUAAGAUUUGGAAUAGGCUUAAAACAAAAAUCUCAAAAACAACUUCAUAUUGAGGGAUUUGAACAUGCACAUUUUGGGACACGAGGCAGAUGCCAUUUGCUAUCUGACAUCCCCACCUAUAACCCCUUAGAAAAACUGAAACCUACUUGAAUCUAAGAGCGCUCACUGUUGCCCCUAGAGGCCAGUUUCCACAUCAUCUUCCGACAUCCUCAGACAUGGAAGGACGUUGAAUACUGACUUGUAUCAAGGGUGAUCUGGCUAGCAGACCUGUGGUUAUUAAUACUAACCUGUACUGUGGAUGAUGUUGGCUGGGCUUGCAAUUUCAAACGCAUUAACAUUAACUACUCUUUGCUUUGUGCACAGAGUCUGAGACAGAAUCUUCUCCCAUUUUCCUGAAACCUUUCUUCCACCAGACACAGAUCACCCAAAAUCAUAUACUAUAACUAUGUAUUUAUCUAUCUGUCAUAACCUUAAGCUCAGUAAGUUGCUUGUUGAGAUGUUUUACUUUUGGCCCCUAAAGCACAACGGUGAGAAUGAUUCCAGGAUCUGGGAUGGGAAGCUGGAUUAACCAAUAGAUUUAAAGACAAUGUGCAUCUACCUACCUGUAGCUCACUGGGUUGACCACACACUUCUGCUCAGGGGAUGCCUAAAAACAUGUUACAAAUGUUUCAGUAACUAUGCUAAAGAUGAUUAUUUUUUAAAGUUGUCCAUCUUAAUAGUUUAACAAAUAAUGUCUGACAAAUGUUUGACCCCCUGUCCAUUGUGUGGCCAACCAGUGCUUGGUUUGUAGCCUGCAUAGACACAUGUGUAUUCGCUUAUUAGAUAAACCAAAGCAAAUAGCAACCCUUACCUGCUUUAUUACUAACUGGGUGGUGACUGGUACUAACAACCCCAGAUGAGGCCUCAGAAUUUGGCCAUUGAUUCUUUGCUCUUCCUCAGGUUGACAUUUAUUGUCAUGAGUCUUGUCCUGAAGGCAGAACUGACCGAUUUCCCCUUAGAUAGGCCAGCUGCAAAGUCCAAAUUGUCUAUAUUGUAAAAAUAAACGUUUUUGCUUUUUGGUCAUUAGCACUAACAGUGUGGGUAAGGAUAGGUUUAACAUUAGGUUUAACAUCAGAUUUCAUGACUUUGUGGUUGUGCUACCUAGUGACCACUCUGCAGAGUGAACUCCAGAACAACAUUCAUGACAAAAAACACUAACCUGAUGCUCUUACUAACAUACUGUAUCUUCUCUCAGACUAACACGUGGUGCUUCUUUCAAUGCUGUCUAACCAUGCUGCGACCAACUUAUCACCCAUCACUUCAUCCUGCCCUUUGGUGAGAUCAAACAGCAUCUAGUAGGCCAUGCAGUAUCGUUUCUUUACUUCCUGAGUCGUCAUGAGGAUAGACAUCCCUGUGUUCUUGAUCUUGUGACACUUUACUUAACCUGCACUAGAGUGAGAAAGCACUAACUAUUGGGGCAUGAAACAGCUUCCCAGAAACUAACAAACGAACUAACCUACUAAUUAACUAAUUAUCUAACAAACUAACUGAAAUGACUAAUGUUGUGCUGAGAGUUAUCAGGUUUUGGUUCAGCAAGCCACCCCCCCCCCCCCCCCCCCCCCCCCCUGUGUGUGUGUGUGUGUGUGUACGUGUUGCGUGUGUGUGUGUGUGUGUGUGUGUGUGUGUACAUUGAUUCUCAAACUGUGUGCAUGAUGCCGUCAUUGUUUUUGUCUGAAUGAGUGUUAAGGAUUCAGCAUGCUCCAGUUCGGCUGGCGUCUAGCCAAAUUCGGCUAGGUGAAGUGAAUGAGUGUGCUGCAUACUCCCUUAAAAGACCUUUGCUUGAAAAUUUGAAAAAGCAGCAAUAGUACUGUUUGUCAAUUUGAGAUGCCAUAGCCAGUACACGCUUCCUUAAACUGGUCAGAAUUAAUCAAAGAUAAUUCAAGAAAUCUGUCAUUAAUUUAGACUUUUUUGCAGAGGAGAUCUUAGUCAUGCAAUAGUACAUCUAAGAUUUUUGGUGCAGUAUUUCUCAAUUAAAAAAUGUGCAUGAAAACGAGUCGUCCAAAACGAACAAAAACGUCACAUAAUGUCUUCAUAAUAUAUGCACAAACUCUUCCGAACUGUGUCGGCUGGGAAGCAUGAGGACGCCUUAAGUGUGUAUGUUUUUCUAUCAGUUUUUUUCUAUGGAGUAACGUUAUGCUAUAGCAAUGUUGUCUUCAUCCACUAUUUACACAAAUGACUGAUGAUUGGCUGAUGAUAAAAUUAUUGUAGAGGCUGUUUUGUUAGACUUCAGUGCGGCUUUUGACAUUAUCGAUCAUAGUCUGCUCCUGGAAAAACGUAUGUGUUAUGGCUUUACAUCCCCUGCUAUAUCGUGGAUAAAGAGUUACCUGUCUAACAGAACACAGAUGGUGUUUUAACGGAAGCCUCUCCAACAUAAUCCAGGUAGAAUCAGGAAUUUCCCAGGGCAGCCCGUUACUUUUUUCGGACUGUAGUAAUGACAUGCCACUGGCUCUACUCAAUUGCGGAUGACUCAACACUAUACCCGUCAGCUACUACAGCGACUGAAAUGACCGCAACACUUAUAACAAAGAGCUGCAGUUAGUUUCAGAAUGGGUGGCAAGGAAUAAGAUCGUCCUAAAUAUUUCUAAAACUAAAAGCAUUGUAUUUGGGACAAAUCAUUCACUAAACCCUAAACCUCAACUAAAUCUUGUAAUAAAUAAUGUGGAAAUUGAGCAAGUACCUCAACUAAACUAAACUGCUUGGAGUAACCCUGGAUUGUAAACUGUCAUGGUCAAGACAUAUUGAUAGAACAGAAGCUAAGACGGGGGAAAGUCUGUCCGUAACAAACAGCUCGGACACAGUUCGGACACCCAUGCACAAGACAUGCCACAAGAGGUCUCUUCAGAGUCCCCAAGUCCAGAACAGACUAUGGGAGGUGCACAUUACUACAUAGAGCCAUGACUACAUGGAACUCAACAUCAAUAUCAUGUAACUGAUGCAAGUAGUAAAAUUUGAUUUAAAAAACAGAUAAAAUACACCUUAUGGAACAGCAGGGACUAUGAAGCAACACAAACAUAGGCACAUACACUUAACAUAGGCACACACACACACACACACACAAUAACAUACGCACUAUACACACACAUAAACAGGGAUUUUGUAUUGUAGAUAUUUGGUAGUGGAGUAGGAGCCUGAGGGCACACAGUAUGUUGAGAAAUUUGUUGUGAAUGUAUGGUAAUGUUUUUAAAAUUGCACAACUGCAUUCAUUUUGCUGUUUGGCAGCAGCUAAUGGGGAUUAAUAGUAAAAACAAAUGCACACUUAGAACUGAUUUAGCAAAAACUAAGACCACAUUCAUUAUACAGACUCAACUGUCAAAAGUGGGUUCUAUUCUUGGAUAAAGACAAGCUUCUUACGGCUUGACAAUCAAAUUGUGUGAUCAAACGAUGAAGCAGUUUUGCUUUGGAGGACCUAGUGUCUUUCAGAGUAGCUUCAAUCAAAAGCGUCACUAGUCAACACAGUGUCUAAGUGGUUUGGAUCCUUGUCCUUUGUGUGGUGUCACUACAGAAUUAUUCACAAAAUAUGGCUGGGAUGUUGAAAAACUGAUAAUAGCCUUACUAUCUUUUAUUUCAUGUGCUGUAUUGAUAAAACAUAUUUACCAUGCCCUUUUCUCUGUUGAAUAAACUAUUUUAAAAAGUA
Molecule: non-coding RNA, 7745 nt
Organism: Oncorhynchus mykiss (rainbow trout)
Lineage: Eukaryota; Metazoa; Chordata; Actinopteri; Salmoniformes; Salmonidae
Source: RefSeq, a predicted model, not a curated record